This 300-nucleotide ribosomal RNA is filed under the name uncultured Alteromonadaceae bacterium. RNAcentral describes it as "bacterial SSU rRNA". It matches the Rfam family "Bacterial small subunit ribosomal RNA", at positions 114 to 415 of the family's 1533-position model. The record is from RNAcentral. Lineage: Bacteria; Pseudomonadati; Pseudomonadota; Gammaproteobacteria; Alteromonadales; Alteromonadaceae.
CGCGUGGGAAUCUACCCAGUAGUGGGGGACAACAGUUGGAAACGACUGCUAAUACCGCAUACGUCCUACGGGAGAAAGGGGGCCUCUAUUUAUAAGCUCUCGCUAUUGGAUGAGCCCGCGUAAGAUUAGCUAGUUGGUGGGGUAAAAGCCUACCAAGGCGACGAUCUUUAGCUGGUCUGAGAGGAUGAUCAGCCACACUGGAACUGAGACACGGUCCAGACUCCUACGGGAGGCAGCAGUGGGGAAUAUUGCACAAUGGGGGAAACCCUGAUGCAGCCAUGCCGCGUGUGUGAAGAAGGC